UACAGAGGUGGCAAGCGUUGUUCGGAUUUACUGGGCGUAAAGGGCGCGUAGGCGGCAUGACGAGUCACUUGUGAAAUCUCCGGGCUUAACUCGGAACGGCCAAGUGAUACUGUCAAGCUAGAGUGCAGAAAGGGCAAUCGGGAAUUCUUGGUGUAGCGGUGAAAUGCGUAGAUAUCGAGAGGAACACCCUGCGGCGAAGGCGGGUAGCUGGGCCGACACUGACGCUGAGGCGCGAAAGCCAGGGGGAGCGAACGGG
RNAcentral lists this ribosomal RNA (256 nucleotides) under uncultured bacterium. RNAcentral describes it as "partial 16S ribosomal RNA". It matches the Rfam family "Bacterial small subunit ribosomal RNA", at positions 524 to 776 of the family's 1533-position model. The record is from RNAcentral.